This is a long non-coding RNA of Orcinus orca (killer whale), 145 nucleotides long. RefSeq lists it as uncharacterized. NCBI's taxonomy places the organism in Eukaryota, Metazoa, Chordata, Mammalia, Artiodactyla, Delphinidae. The transcript is spliced from 3 exons. The record is from RefSeq and is a predicted model, not a curated record.
CUGUGACGUCCAGGUCCAGGUCAGGCGCCUCGGCCAGUGGUACCUGGUGGUGAUCCCAGCCCCACUGGGCCCUGCAGGAGCAGGGGAGGGGGCCCCGGGAGGCGCCCAGGCCUCUCCACUCCCAAGGGCUCAGCCACAACCCUGC